This 903-nucleotide long non-coding RNA is filed under the name Homo sapiens (human). RNAcentral describes it as "HSALNT0188630". Lineage: Eukaryota; Metazoa; Chordata; Mammalia; Primates; Hominidae. The record is from RNAcentral.
CCAGGGCUUCCCAGGCAGCCUUCAUCCCUUCUCCCUGCUCACCUUGUCCUCAGACCCCAAGAUUGUCAGGACUUGGGAUAUCUGGCAGGGCCCCUACAAGCCACUCUGGCUAGUCUGUACAGACACAGCUCUGCAGCAGGAGGUAACUGAUCUAGAGCUGGAUUUCAGUCUCCGUUUGCCUCCUCAGCAAGGCAUAAUCUGCACAACUGUGCUUAGUGGCCUUGAUAUUUGAAAGUCUGUAUACUACAAAGAUAGAGAUCACCAUGUCCAUCCCUUUUUAUCUUUUCUACCUAGACCAGAAAAAGGUACCUAUCCCUUCUCUUCUGAGAAAAUCCUGUGGAAGUAGCUUCCACAGGGAAUCCCCAUUGCCAGUUCCAGAUAUUACUCUGGGGGAAGUUCCUCCAAUAUCAAACCUCAAUCCCUCCUGCUGCAGUGCCUUCUUUUUCUGGGCUCUGCCUCUGGACUCAUGGUGUUAUUUGAUGCUUCGAGGCACUUUCAGAUUCCAUCCCCUGAUGCAGCAUUUGCUAUAAAUAUGUCUGAAGGGUUUCUUGCGACAAUGCCCAGCAAGAUCGCACCCUCCUUCCCAAAUCAGGCCUCUGGACAGACUGGGGAGUCAGCUGUGGGUUCAAGACCUAACUCUUGCUCACUCUGGGACAGAUAGUAUGACUGUUGUGUGCAUUUGGAGGUUCCUCCUGGUACCUGGGAAGGAGGGGAAGGUGAGAGGGCUGAGGUGAUUGGCUUCAUGCUCUUGCUGCCCAGAAUCCGGCUCAGCCUAGCACAUAGUAGGUGCUUGAUAAUAUGUUUCUUUUAGUCUUAGAUCCCAGUUUCCCCUCUGGGUCUGCUGAUGCACAUGAUAGGUGAUUCCAGUCUCACAGAACGGAUUGCAGUGAGCAAUGAGCCUGG